RNAcentral lists this ribosomal RNA (873 nucleotides) under Ancylomarina sp. RNAcentral's name for it is "bacterial SSU rRNA". It matches the Rfam family "Bacterial small subunit ribosomal RNA", at positions 65 to 936 of the family's 1533-position model. The record is from RNAcentral. Lineage: Bacteria; Pseudomonadati; Bacteroidota; Bacteroidia; Marinilabiliales; Marinifilaceae.
AGGGGCAGCAUUGUAGCUUGCUACAGAUGGCGACCGGCGCACGGGUGAGUAACGCGUAUGCAACCUACCUUUCACAGGGGGAUAGCCCAGAGAAAUCUGGAUUAAUACCGCAUAAUAAUAUUUUAUCGCAUGGUAAGAUAUUUAAAAUUACGAUGGUGAAAGAUGGGCAUGCGUAGCAUUAGUUAGUUGGUAAGGUAACGGCUUACCAAGACGAUGAUGCUUAGGGGGUCUGAGAGGAUAGUCCCCCACACUGGUACUGAGACACGGACCAGACUCCUACGGGAGGCAGCAGUGAGGAAUAUUGGUCAAUGGGCGCGAGCCUGAACCAGCCAUGUCGCGUGCAGGAUGACGGCCCUAUGGGUUGUAAACUGCUUUUUUACAGGAAUAAUUGUCAGUACGUGUACUGAUUUGAAGGUACUGUAGGAAUAAGGAUCGGCUAACUCCGUGCCAGCAGCCGCGGUAAUACGGAGGAUUCGAGCGUUAUCCGGAUUUAUUGGGUUUAAAGGGUCCGUAGGCGGGCUGUUAAGUCAGUGGUGAAAUCCCAGAGCUCAACUCUGGAACUGCCAUUGAAACUGAUAGUCUUGAAUAUGGUUGAGGUAGGCGGAAUACGUUAUGUAGCGGUGAAAUGCAUAGAUAUAACGUAGAACACCAAUUGCGAAGGCAGCUUACUAAGCCAUUAUUGACGCUGAUGGACGAAAGCGUGGGGAGCGAACAGGAUUAGAUACCCUGGUAGUCCACGCCGUAAACGAUGAUUACUCGUUGUGCACAAUACACCGUGCGUGACUGAGCGAAAGCAUUAAGUAAUCCACCUGGGGAGUACGUUGGCAACAAUGAAACUCAAAGGAAUUGACGGGGGCCCGCACAAGCGGAGGA